UACGGAGGGAGCUAGCGUUGUUCGGAUAUACUGGGCGUAAAGCGCACGUAGGCGGCGCCGUAAGUCAGGGGUGAAAUCCCGGAGCUCAACUCCGGAACUGCCCUUGAAACUGCAGUGCUAGAAUCUUGGAGAGGCGAGUGGAAUUCCGAGUGUAGAGGUGAAAUUCGUAGAUAUUCGGAAGAACACCAGUGGCGAAGGCGGGUCUCUGGACAGUUCCUGACGCUGAGGCACGAAGGCCAGGGGAGCAAACGGG
Molecule: ribosomal RNA, 253 nt
Filed under: uncultured bacterium
Lineage: Bacteria
Description: partial 16S ribosomal RNA
Rfam family: Bacterial small subunit ribosomal RNA
Source: RNAcentral